RNAcentral lists this long non-coding RNA (466 nucleotides) under Sus scrofa (pig). Its description in RNAcentral is "lncRNA (ENSSSCG00015029983.1)". Lineage: Eukaryota; Metazoa; Chordata; Mammalia; Artiodactyla; Suidae. The record is from RNAcentral.
GGGGGGGCUCAGGGAGGAGAGCACAGGGAGAGAGCCGAAAAGUGGAAGACAGAAUCUGCCCAGGCCCCACUCAGGUCCAGAACAUUCUCCCUGCCAUCCUUGGGCCUGCCAGGUGGAUGGUAGGGCUGAGGGGCAGGACCCAGGCUGGGAUCAGCUAUGUCUGUCACUUCAGGGCCUGGUGUGUGGAAGGCUAUGCUGCAAAGUUUUUCGUCUGAGCCCUUGGCCUUUAUUUAGUUGUCCGCCGACCUUCUGGAUUGUAAUCCAAACCAGCAGACUUCCGUGGGUGCGGUUAACUAAGGGAAGCACCGCGGACCCAGCUGAACUGGCAGAGCACUUCAAAGGCCUGCGGGUCAUUCAUCAUCCCCGUGACGCUCCGGCAAAUGCUCAGCUUCAGCUCCGCGCCAGGGAUUUGUUAUGACUUGCGAGCCGGCUGACAGACAGGGCUGUGGCGGCCGCGGGAGGGGAC